This 309-nucleotide unclassified non-coding RNA is filed under the name plant metagenome. RNAcentral describes it as "partial contains 5.8S ribosomal RNA, internal transcribed spacer 2, and large subunit ribosomal RNA". The stretch from base 1 to 105 matches the Rfam family "5.8S ribosomal RNA", at positions 50 to 154 of the family's 154-position model. The record is from RNAcentral.
GAAAUGCGAUAAGUAGUGUGAAUUGCAGAAUUCAGUGAAUCAUCGAAUCUUUGAACGCACAUUGCGCCCCUUGGUAUUCCAUGGGGCAUGCCUGUUCGAGCGUCAUUUGUACCCUCAAGCUCUGCUUGGUGUUGGGUGUUUGUCCCGUCCCCGCGCGUGGACUCGCCCCAAAGUGAUUGGCAGCCGGCGUACUGGUCCCGGAGCGCAGCACAUGUCGCGCAAACGAGUGCCUUGGUACGACGGCGUCCAUAAGCCCCUCUCUCACGCUCUUGACCUCGGAUCAGGUAGGGAUACCCGCUGAACUUAAGC